AGAAAUUUUAUUUUGGCCAGGAGCUGAAGUUGGUUGUUUAGUAGUAGUAGUUUGAGUAGUGACCGAAGUAGUAGUCUGGUGUGGUAAUUGGGGCAGCUGUGGUCUCUUGUGGAGCUGGGGAAGACGGUGGAGCUGGUGUAGUUGCAGAAGGUGUGGGUGGGACAGCUGUGGUCUCUGGUGGAGCUGAGGAAGAUAGUGGAGCUGGUGUAGUUGCAGAAGGUGUGGGUGGGGCAGCUGUGGUGUCUUGUGGAGCUGGGGAAUUCACUGGUGCUAAUGUAGCUACAGAAGAGCUUGUGUUAACAUUUUCUCUUGAAGAUAUGGUGGUGGCAUUCUGGGGAAGAAAAGUCACAUUUGGAAGGGUAGUAAUUUUGGUGGCUGCUUAGGCCUACAGCGUUUGUGCAGACAUUUAUAGGACUUUCUAAUGAACGGCUUCUGGUGAGCUAGCAGUCCAGGAU
RNAcentral lists this long non-coding RNA (455 nucleotides) under Homo sapiens (human). RNAcentral describes it as "HSALNT0320119". Lineage: Eukaryota; Metazoa; Chordata; Mammalia; Primates; Hominidae. The record is from RNAcentral.